GACGAACGCUGGCGGCGUGCUUAACACAUGCAAGUCGAACGGAAAGGCCCAGCUUGCUGGGUGCUCGAGUGGCGAACGGGUGAGUAACACGUGGGUGAUCUGCCCCUAACUUCGGGAUAAGCUUGGGAAACUGGGUCUAAUACCGGAUAGGACAAUCGUUUAGUGUCGGUUGUGGAAAGUUUUUUCGGUUAGGGAUGAGCCCGCGGCCUAUCAGCUUGUUGGUGGGGUAAUGGCCUACCAAGGCGUCGACGGGUAGCCGGCCUGAGAGGGUGGACGGCCACAUUGGGACUGAGAUACGGCCCAGACUCCGACGGGAGGCAGAAGUGGGGAAUAUUGCAAAAGGGGCGCAAGCCUGAUGCAGCGACGCCGCGUGGGGGAUGACGGCCUUCGGGUUGUAAACCUCUUUCGACAGGGACGAAGCUUUGGUGACGGUACCUGUAUAAGAAGCACCGGCUAACUACGUG
Molecule: ribosomal RNA, 464 nt
Filed under: uncultured bacterium
Lineage: Bacteria
Description: partial 16S ribosomal RNA
Rfam family: Bacterial small subunit ribosomal RNA
Source: RNAcentral